Molecule: long non-coding RNA, 1145 nt
Filed under: Anolis carolinensis (green anole)
Lineage: Eukaryota; Metazoa; Chordata; Lepidosauria; Squamata; Anolidae
Description: lncRNA (ENSACAG00000035361.1)
Source: RNAcentral
UUGUGAAUUUUCCGAGUGAUAUGGCCAUGUUCCAGGAGCAUUCUCUCCUGAUGUUUCGCCUGCCUCUAUGGCAGGCAUCCUCAGAGGUUGUGAGGUCUGUUGGAAACUAGGCAAACAGGGUUUAUAUCUGUGGAAAGUCCAGGGUGGGUGGGAGAACUCUUGUCUGAGGAAAGUGUGAGUGUUGCAAAUGGCCAGCUUGAUUAGCAUUUGAUGGCCCAUCUCGUUGCUAAGCAACUUCUCAUUUGCAUUCAGCCAAUCAGACUACACAUAUGGUAAUAGAUGCUUGACUGCUCCUCCCCUUGCUCCACUGAGCUGUUGCAAGUAAGGCCUGUAAAAUGGUCGCAACCUCAGCCCUGCUUACAAAAUGGCUGCACACUGGUCCUGCAAGGUGGGUCAGCCACCCACCAACCUUAUAAGUGAACAGAGGAAUUGAUCAGCAACUGAAGAGGUUUUGGGAGAAUUCACCAUGAUUUACAAGAGUUGUACUUGACCUACAUCCAGAGAGCACUGUUAACCCAACCAACUAUGGAUCUGGAUCAAACUUGCCAGGAAUAAUGGGACUUGUAGUACCUUCACUGAUACUGUGACCCCGAACAACAAUGGACUGGGACCAGACUUGGCACAGAGAAGUCCCAAGACCAACUGAACAUACUGCAGGGGUUAGUGGGAAUGGACCUUGAUUUGGGGAGUUAUAGUUCAUCUGCAUCUAGUGACCCCCACCAACAAUGGAUACAAGUUUAACCCACUGUGUCACCACGGGGUCCAUAAUAAAACAAUACAUAAAACAAACAUCAGUGUGAACAAAUAAUAACUAACACACAAACAAAUAAUUAAAACAAAUAAGCCUCAUCUUACCUCUUCCGUGCUGUCACUGUUUCCAUGCCUUACUGGCCACCAAGCUCUAUUGCGUAUUGUGGGAAUCUCUGCUGAUAUUGAGGCGGGAGGUUAAAGAACCCCAGGAAAUGCUAUAUAUGGGCAGAGAUGGCGACGGCUAGCGAGCCGGGUGCAUAAGCUCACUGAAACAAGUGAUUUCUGGGAAAUCACGUGUUUCUGAAGAAAUGAAAGCUAAGAAUAGGCAAACUGCGCGUGCGCACGCAGGCGCCCUGAGUGAUUGUGAACACGACACGGAAAGAGUGCGCCCGGGC